UGUGGGAGCGAGCCUGCUCGCGAUGGCGUCGGGUCAGCAACAUCAAGGGUGUUGACGUACCGCUAUCGCGAGCAGGCUCGCUCCCACA
This 88-nucleotide unclassified non-coding RNA is filed under the name Pseudomonas brassicacearum. The record is from RNAcentral. Lineage: Bacteria; Pseudomonadati; Pseudomonadota; Gammaproteobacteria; Pseudomonadales; Pseudomonadaceae.